Molecule: long non-coding RNA, 203 nt
Organism: Aphis gossypii (cotton aphid)
Lineage: Eukaryota; Metazoa; Arthropoda; Insecta; Hemiptera; Aphididae
Exons: 2
Source: RefSeq, a predicted model, not a curated record
CGUCCCUUUGCCCAACACCCGGUCGAAAAUCACUCGCCUGCACGACUGUCGCUCGUCAUCGGUGGUCAUGAUGACGAAUAAUAUUAUACGGUAAUUAAAUCGAUAUUUGAAAGGCUAUUGAGAUCAAUGUAUUCAAGAUUUUGAUCAAAUACUGCAUGUACAAUACAAUUGUGUUUAAUAUAUUAUAUUCAUACAUAAAAAGU